GUGGAGGUACAAGGUCCACAGAUCGUGAACUUCUUUUCCUCGAGAAGAAUCACUGACGAUAUCUAAUGAAUAAGUAUCAACUAACUCUGUGUUAGCAAUCGCGGUAAGACAGAGAAUGC
Molecule: ribosomal RNA, 119 nt
Filed under: Olea europaea subsp. europaea
Lineage: Eukaryota; Viridiplantae; Streptophyta; Magnoliopsida; Lamiales; Oleaceae
Description: Bacterial small subunit ribosomal RNA
Rfam family: Bacterial small subunit ribosomal RNA
Source: Rfam by way of RNAcentral